UUGCCAUACACAAUUUUUUUAAGUGAUUUGCAAUUGAAUUGCAUACAUUCUAAUUGAUAAACUGGAUAUAUCAAUCCUUUAUUUUAUAGUUUCCAGAUAUUAUACCACACUCAUAAAUACUUUCCCAUAUUCCAAUUAUUUAUUUUAGUAUUUUAUAAUUUUUCAAAAAUUUAAAUCUUGUAUAUAUCUGCAAUCUAUUUUGGAGUGAGCCGCAACUUUUGAAGAAAUCCAAAUUUAUGUUUUUCUAGAUAACUACUCAUUAUGGCAAAUCCUUCUUUUCUUCACCAAUAUGAAAUGUCACUUUCACCAUUUAUGACAAUUGCUGUGUGAUUAUUCAGUCAGGUUUCAUGUUUCAUGCUCUAAUAUUCUAUUCAUGUAUUUGACAAACUUUCCUGAGUACUUACUAUGCUCCAGGCACUGUUCUUCUGUUUCAGGUACUAGAGAUACAGCAAUAUAAAAAUACUUUUUUGAAAAAAAAAUAAGUAAGAAGAACAAGGAGGAGGAAGGGAGAGAGAAAAGGUCUGCAGACUAAGAGGAGCCAUGCCCAGACAUGAUAAAAAGAUUAUGGAGCACCACUCACAGAUCCUGGACUCAACAAUGGAUGCAGUCACUGGAUGGAACUUUUGGCCAUUAAUUGAGUGCCUACCAUAUAGACACUGGGACCACAAUGAAGAAGAUAACCACUGAUCCUGUGGAACUUUUAGCUAAUGGAAAUCAAUUCCUGAGUAUCCAUGUAAUAUUGGAUGCUCAGCAUUAUUUAUCGGGACUCAUUAAUUGAUAUUUCAUAGGAAUUUAAGAAUGUUUUCUCAAGGAAAAGCUCAUUAUUCUGAUUGAAUUCAAGAAAAUAUUUCUUACUGAGUUUAGUGAUAUAAAACCACAUGAAACUAACAGUAUCUGAUUAAGACCAAUAGCCAAGUUCAUUUUUAAUGUCUUUAUCCUACAAAUCAACAAAACUUGUCAGUGAAAAGAGGAAUAUUGAUCAAUCACUUGAAUGUUUCAUUAAAUCCAAAUCUUUUGUAUAACAGUGAAAAAGUAUUUAAUGUUUGGAUGGUUUAAUUUAUCUUCAUCUGUAUGGGCUUUUUCUGUUAUUUGGGCCACUAAUGUGUUUUAGUUUAGUUUUUUGGUUUUGGGUGUUUUCUGUCUUUUUUUUUUUUUUUUUUUUUUUUGGUAAAGUCAUUGUGUUCUCUCUUGGUCUUCUGCUUUCAACUAUCAGGUUGCCAAUUCAAUUACUCACAAAUCUCUCUGAAAAAUAUUUUGAAA
Molecule: long non-coding RNA, 1260 nt
Filed under: Homo sapiens (human)
Lineage: Eukaryota; Metazoa; Chordata; Mammalia; Primates; Hominidae
Description: HSALNT0108594
Source: RNAcentral